AUACGGAGGGUGCGAGCGUUAAUCGGAAUUACUGGGCGUAAAGCGCGCGUAGGCGGCUUAUUAAGUCAGAUGUGAAAUCCCCGGGCUCAACCUGGGAACUGCAUCUGAUACUGGUAAGCUAGAGUUUUGGAGAGGGAAAUAGAAUUUCAGGUGUAGCGGUGAAAUGCAUAGAGAUCUGAAGGAAUACCAGUGGCGAAGGCGACUUCCUGGCCAAAGACUGACGCUGAGGUGCGAAAGCGUGGGUAGCAAACGGGAUUAGAAACCCCAGUAGUCC
Molecule: ribosomal RNA, 274 nt
Filed under: uncultured bacterium
Lineage: Bacteria
Description: partial 16S ribosomal RNA
Rfam family: Bacterial small subunit ribosomal RNA
Source: RNAcentral